RNAcentral lists this long non-coding RNA (1287 nucleotides) under Rattus norvegicus (Norway rat). Its description in RNAcentral is "long non-coding RNA NONRATT033267". Lineage: Eukaryota; Metazoa; Chordata; Mammalia; Rodentia; Muridae. The record is from RNAcentral.
AUGAAAUGGUUGAAGAGCAAGGGAAGAGAUCUUUCUGUCCCUGAUGGAGCUCUCCCAUCUGGUUACAGAAACUGGAUAAGGGGAAAGAAAAAUCCUAGGAUGCUGGAAUGCCAGGAACGUUUCCAGGAUGCCAAGAAAAAUAGCUCUGUGAUGAACCAAUGGCACCAUGGUGGCAGCAGGAAGAAGAAUGACAUCGGGCAGUCUUCCUGGCCAAGCAGCCAUCAGGACCCACAUAAAUAUUUUCUCAAUGUCUGCAUGACCAGAAACUACUGGCUGGCUUCCAUGGGACAGUAAAUAAUUCAGAUUGGUUACUUCCUGACCACUUUCUUGGGUGUGUUUUCUGACAACUGUGUCUUUUGAAGAGGACUUUGCAGAGACCUUGAUAAAGGCAGUGAGCCAAGCUCUUACUGGAUUCUGAUGAUGGCACUUUGUGGGCAGGAAAGAAGUACCGAUGGGUCUCCAUGUCUGUGCACUUGGAGGUAGCAGAUGGCUUUUACUCAGUCUUAAAGAUCUUUCAAGUGGGGCCAAGAAUGAGUUUCAGACAUUAGGGUGGGGCGAGGUUAGAGAUCCUGGGACCAAAAAGUCAGAAUUCAGCUCAUGUGGUAAAUUGGGUAAGCUUGACCAAAGGCAUGCUGGGGUUUUGGCAGAUAACCCAGUGGGGAAGGAAAAGAUAGUACUGGAGCCAGUAUGGUCUCAGAUUAUUUAAAUGGACAAUUUUGGGGUUGUAAGUUCAUGAGAGAGUGGGUACAACAAGCAAUGUCUAUUCAUGAGAAUUACCCAAGGCUUCUGAUGGCAGUGAGACAUUAGGGGACAGUAGUUCUGGAAGUCAGGUUCUUGAUGCCUUGCCUGGUUUAUAGUAGGACUUUAAUUGACAGUGGAAAAAAAUGAAAAUGGGGCAGAGGGCAGGGAAUGUCUAGAAAAAGUGCCAGGGUCAGCGUGGUAGUGCAAGUGAACCUGCCGAUGUUGGGGGGGAGGGGGAUGUAGUAAAAUUCAAGGUCUGACUUUCUGGUGGGAAGACUCUUAAUUUUAUGUCUCAAGAAUUGUAGUUUUUGUAUCCUACACAGGUCUGACUAUGUAGUGGAAAUGCUUUAGAACCUGUAGUAGGCUGACCUAAAGCACAGGUCCCUGAUGGGUUUAAGGAUACAGAAUUCUAGAUGGUUAGAACUGAGAGGACCUGUGCUCAUCGGGCUUUGCCUGAAUUGUACAAUGGGAAUAUUUGGGCCAUGUAUCUUGCCUCCAGCCCUACAUGGUUGCUCAGUAGAGAACACAGUUGUUCCAUCCCUGGAG